GAGAGUUGAUCCUGGCACAGCAUUGAACGCUGGCGGCAUGCCUUACACAUGCGAGUCGAACGGCAGCGCGGGCUUCGGCCUGGCGGCGAGUGGCGAACGGGUGAGUAAUACAUCGGAACGUGCCCUGUUGUGGGGGAUAACUAGUCGAAAGAUUAGCUAAUACCGCAUACGACCUGAGGGUGAAAGCGGGGGACCGGUAACGGCCUCGCGCAAUAGGAGCGGCCGAUGUCUGAUUAGCUAGUUGGUGGGGUAAAGGCCUACCAAGGCGACGAUCAGUAGCUGGUCUGAGAGGACGAUCAGCCACACUGGGACUGAGACACGGCCCAGACUCCUACGGGAGGCAGCAGUGGGGAAUUUUGGACAAUGGGGGCAACCCUGAUCCAGCAAUGCCGUGUGUGUGAAGAAGGCCUUCGGGUUGUAAAGCACUUUUGUCCGGAAAGAAAUCGCCUGGCUAAUACCUGGCGUGGAUGACGGUACCCCGGAACAA
Molecule: ribosomal RNA, 487 nt
Filed under: Ralstonia sp. DB3
Lineage: Bacteria; Pseudomonadati; Pseudomonadota; Betaproteobacteria; Burkholderiales; Burkholderiaceae
Description: bacterial SSU rRNA
Rfam family: Bacterial small subunit ribosomal RNA
Source: RNAcentral